This 468-nucleotide ribosomal RNA is filed under the name uncultured bacterium. RNAcentral describes it as "partial 16S ribosomal RNA". It matches the Rfam family "Bacterial small subunit ribosomal RNA", at positions 28 to 507 of the family's 1533-position model. The record is from RNAcentral.
GACGAACGCUGGCGGCGUGCUUAACACAUGCAAGUCGAACGGAAAGGCCCUGCUUUUGUGGGGUGCUCGAGUGGCGAACGGGUGAGUAACACGUGAGUAACCUGCCCUUGACUUUGGGAUAACUUCAGGAAACUGGGGCUAAUACCGGAUAGGAGCUCCUGCUGCAUGGUGGGGGUUGGAAAGUUUCGGCGGUUGGGGAUGGACUCGCGGCUUAUCAGCUUGUUGUUGGGGUAGUGGCUUACCAAGGCUUUGACGGGUAGCCGGCCUGAGAGGGUGACCGGCAAAAUUGGGACAGAAAUAGGGCCCAGACUCAUAAGGGAGGCAACAGUGGGGAAUAAUACACAAUGGGCGGAAGCCUGAUGCAGAAGCGCCGCGUGCGGGAUGACGAACUUAGGGUUGUAAACCGCUUUCGCCUGUGACGGAGAGUGAGUGAAAGUAGAGGGUAAAGAAGCACCGGCUAACUACGUG